GUGGGGAAUCUUGCGCAAUGGGCGAAAGCCUGACGCAGCCAUGCCGCGUGAAUGAUGAAGGUCUUAGGAUUGUAAAAUUCUUUCACCGGGGACGAUAAUGACGGUACCCGGAGAAGAAGCUCCGGCUAACUUCGUGCCAGCAGCCGCGGUAAUACGAAGGGGGCUAGCGUUGCUCGGAAUUACUGGGCGUAAAGGGCGCGUAGGCGGACAGCUUAGUCAGAGGUGAAAGCCCAGGGCUCAACCUUGGAAUUGCCUUUGAUACUGGCUGUCUUGAGUUUGGGAGAGGUGAGUGGAACUCCGAGUGUAGAGGUGAAAUUCGUAGAUAUUCGGAAGAACACCAGUGGCGAAGGCGACUCACUGGCCCAAUACUGACGCUGAGGCGCGAAAGCGUGGGGAGCAAACAGGAUUAGAUACCCUGGUAGUCC
RNAcentral lists this ribosomal RNA (425 nucleotides) under uncultured bacterium. RNAcentral describes it as "bacterial SSU rRNA". It matches the Rfam family "Bacterial small subunit ribosomal RNA", at positions 354 to 796 of the family's 1533-position model. The record is from RNAcentral.